CCAGCCUCGGGCUGGCUGUUGACAGAAGCGCGCAAGGUGCAUCUUUAUGCUCUACAUCAAACGCCUUUGACACAGACUUAAAAAAGUCUAUGUAAAGCAGCUAAUGGUGCUCGCUCUUCCGGCUGAGUAAGUCGGGGAACCAGAUUUUGCUGGAAGUAGAAGCCCUUUGCUCUGAGAACUGAUCUUUACUGCAUCAGUGAUGGAUGUCUUGGUGCAGCCCAGGUCUGGACAUUCAUAGCACAGUGUGAUCUCCAUGCUACUGGAGGAGCUGGUGAAGGUCCAUAACUCCAGAAAAGCAGGGAUUCCUUUAUUUUGGAUUCUUCCGAAAUCCACACUUAUGGCAAUAGUGACUCUGAGAAUUGAACUUACCAUUUUUUUUAUGUCUGGCAAAAUCAUCCUUGAAAUCAUCAGGAAUUUUGUGUGUAUGAAGCUAAAAGUAAAUCAGGACUUCAAGGUUUGAUUCCAAACAAUUCAAAAGGGUCUUAGGGUUUUUAUUUAAUUUGGAUGAAGUGAACUUGAAGGGAAAGUUCAAUCACUAAAAAUUAAUAUGGCUCUUCCCCAUGCAUUGAAUUAAAGAAGAUGGACUUGGAGAAAACUUAAUGAGAUAUAUGACCCAACCCUUUGCAUCACACACAGUAAAGGUUGUACUAAGCCAGCCAUAAACUCCAUUUUUAUCUUAUGCAUCUCUACUGGUGCCUUAAUUAUCUCAAUAGGCAGUUGUUGUGAUUGCCAGGAAAGCUGUCAUCAACUGUACCACUGCAAUAAUUUUUAUGUUUCUCUUUGUGCAAAGAUUCUUUCAUUUAGAAGAAGUCACAGGAAAAUGUUCAUGUGUUAAAUGGAUUUUUUGGUCAGAUAGAUUUAUAAAAAUAAUAUGGCAGUGUAGAAAUUCCAGUGGCUCUUUCAUAUUUAGUUAAAUAAUAGAAUUAACUUGGUUCUAAUUUUUGUCAGUGCUAAAGCAUGCACUGAAUGGUAAAUGAUUUAGAAUGAUUUCUGGGUAAACUAAGACAAGUACUAAAACAGACUUGCAUAUCAAAUUUAUUAGAAAUCCUUCUUUUGAACUGUACUUUGGGUAAGAGAGUAUAAAAUUAAUCCAAUUUAAGUUUAUGUCAGAGUAGCAAACUAAUUACAAAUUCACAAAAUUAAUUGCCACAGAGUUACGGAAAUUGUUACAUGACUAUUUCAAAUAGUCCUGGAAGAAAUAAAAUUCUCUAAAGCCAGAGAUCA
This 1224-nucleotide long non-coding RNA is filed under the name Junco hyemalis (dark-eyed junco). RNAcentral describes it as "lncRNA (ENSJHYG00000017856.1)". The record is from RNAcentral. Lineage: Eukaryota; Metazoa; Chordata; Aves; Passeriformes; Passerellidae.